This 869-nucleotide ribosomal RNA is filed under the name uncultured archaeon. Its description in RNAcentral is "bacterial SSU rRNA". It matches the Rfam family "Archaeal small subunit ribosomal RNA", at positions 1 to 878 of the family's 1478-position model. The record is from RNAcentral.
CCUUGGUUGAUCCCGCCGGACCUGACUGCUAUCGGAUUGGUACUAAGCCAUGCGAGUCAUUGUAGCAAUACAAGGCGGACGGCUCAGUAACGCGUAGUCAACCUAACUCGUGGACGUGGAUAACCUCGGGAAACUGAGAAUAAACCACGAUAGAUCAUAGUGCCUGGAAUGGCUUAUGGUCCAAACAGUUUACUGCCAUGGGAUGGGACUGCGGCCUAUCAGCUUGUUGGUGAGGUAAUGGCCCACCAAGGCGAUUACAGGUACGGGCUCUGAGAGGAGAAGCCCGGAGAUGGGUACUGAGACACGGACCCAGGCCCUAUGGGGCGCAGCAGGCGAGAAACCUUAGCAAUGUGCGAAAGCACGACUGGGUCAGUCCGAGUGAUUCCUGAUAAAGGAGUCUUUUGCUUGUCCUAAAAGCACAGGUGAAUAAGGGGUGGGCAAGUCUGGUGUCAGCCGCCGCGGUAAUACCAGCACCUCGAGUGGUCAGGACGUUUAUUGGGCCUAAAGCAUCCGUAGCCGGCUCUGCAAGUCUUCGGUUAAAUCCACCUGCUCAACAGAUGGGCUGCUGGAGAUACUACAGAGCUAGGGAGUGGGAGAGGCAGACGGUAUUCAGUGGGUAGGGGUAAAAUCCUCUGAUCCACUGAGGACCACCAGUGGCGAAGGCGGUCUGCCAGAACACGUUCGACGGUGAGGGAUGAAAGCUGGGGGAGCAAACCGGAUUAGAUACCCGGGUAGUCCCAGCUGUAAACGAUGCAAACUCGGUGAUGCAUUGGCUUAUGGCCAAUGCAGUGCCGCAGGGAAGCCGUUAAGUUUGCCGCCUGGGAAGUACGGACGCAAGUCUGAAACUUAAAGGAAUUGGCGGGGGAGCA